GAUGAACGCUGGCGGCGUGCCUAAUACAUGCAAGUCGAGCGAACAGACGAGGAGCUUGCUCCUCUGACGUUAGCGGCGGAUGGGUGAGUAACACGUGGAUAACCUACCUAUAAGACUGGGAUAACUUCGGGAAACCGGAGCUAAUACCGGAUAAUAUAUUGAACCGCAUGGUUCAAUAGUGAAAGACGGUUUUGCUGUCACUUAUAGAUGGAUCCGCGCCGCAUUAGCUAGUUGGUAAGGUAACGGCUUACCAAGGCGACGAUGCGUAGCCGACCUGAGAGGGUGGUCGGCGACACUGGAACGGAGACACGGUCCAGACUCCUACGGGAGGCAGCAGUAGGGAAUCUUCCGCAAUGGGCGAAAGCCUGACGGAGCAACGCCGCGUGAGUGAUGAAGGUCUUCGGAUCGUAAAACUCUGUUAUUAGGGAAGAACAAAUGUGUAAGUAACUAUGCACGUCUUGACGGUACCUAAUCAGAAAGCCACGGCUAACUACGUG
Molecule: ribosomal RNA, 497 nt
Filed under: uncultured bacterium
Lineage: Bacteria
Description: partial 16S ribosomal RNA
Rfam family: Bacterial small subunit ribosomal RNA
Source: RNAcentral